UUUCUCAGAGUAAUUCUAACAUUGCCCUUCCUGUAACAUGAUGAUCCUGCUGUCCUGGACUGUAUAUGAUGAGCCUACACAUAAUCUCAGAACAGCUGUGGUAAUAACAGGAGACCCAUUAGAUGAGAGCGGCACUGCAGACUUUCCUGAUGGAGGAGAUCAUGGACAAUUUUCACAAGACUGAUGAUGUGUUUCAGCUAUGUUUGUAUCGUAAAUCCUCACAAUGUUUGUAUAUAUAUAUAUUUUUUUUUUAAUUAUGUGCAUUUAUAACACUAUACUUUGUAUUAUAUCACAUUCAUAUCAAAUUACAGAA
Carassius gibelio (silver crucian carp) is the source of this 313-nucleotide long non-coding RNA. RefSeq lists it as uncharacterized. The record is from RefSeq and is a predicted model, not a curated record. NCBI's taxonomy places the organism in Eukaryota, Metazoa, Chordata, Actinopteri, Cypriniformes, Cyprinidae. The transcript has 3 exons.